RNAcentral lists this ribosomal RNA (491 nucleotides) under uncultured bacterium. RNAcentral's name for it is "partial 16S ribosomal RNA". It matches the Rfam family "Bacterial small subunit ribosomal RNA", at positions 29 to 506 of the family's 1533-position model. The record is from RNAcentral.
AGUGAACGCUGGCGGUAGGCCUAACACAUGCAAGUCGAACGGCAGCACAGUAAGAGCUUGCUCUUACGGGUGGCGAGUGGCGGACGGGUGAGGAAUACAUCGGAAUCUACUUUUUCGUGGGGGAUAACGUAGGGAAACUUACGCUAAUACCGCAUACGACCUACGGGUGAAAGCAGGGGAUCUUCGGACCUUGCGCGAUUGAAUGAGCCGAUGUCGGAUUAGCUAGUUGGCGGGGUAAAGGCCCACCAAGGCGACGAUCCGUAGCUGGUCUGAGGGGAUGAGCCGCAACCCUGGAACGCAGACACGGAACAGGCUCCCGCAGGGGGCAGGAGGGGGAAACGUUGGACAACGGGAGAAAACCUGGCCCAGCCCUACCGAGGGGGGAAAGAAAGCCUUCGGGUUGUAAGACCCUUUUGUUAGGAAAAAAAAGCGGAGGGUUAAAACCCCGGUGUUGUGACGGUACCCAAAAAAUGAGAACCGGCCAACUUGGU